CGGGGCCCGUCUGCUGGGCUGCCUGGCCCGGGGCCUUGUGAGCUCAGGGCCACCUCAGCGGGCCCGAGGCCGGGGACCCGGCGGCCCGAGGGGGACUGCUGCGCUCCGGGGCCAUCUGAGGCCGCGCCCCACGGGGCCCAGGGACAUCUGUGAGUCCUCGGAGGCGAGUUCGGAUCCCUUACACAGAAGGAAACGGGCUGUUGAGCAGCUGCGGCUUCCUGCUCCCAAGAAGGCGGCGCUGACUCCCUCCGCCCGGGAGGGACGCAGAGCCUGGCCCGCGGUCAUGCCAGGGUGGGCGCAGCAGCUGGGGGACAGCCCGCGCCCUGCAGGACACAGGUCUUGCAGGGAAAGCUGGUUCCGGAGAGGAGGGCUCAGCACAGCACCUAAGAAACAAGGCCCUUCAUGCACAUCAGCUCAGGACCAUCUGACCCAAAGGUGGGAAAGGCUUCAGCUGUCUACAGAGUCUGUCUUCAAGGCAGGGACACGGGGACAGUGGCCACGGGGGCUCCCCUGGUCCCCUCCGAGAUCCCCUGGGGGAAGCACCAGUGCCGGCUGGCGAGACCCCACCAGCUCCGUCUCUGGAUGAACGGAAGGCAGGCACACACAGACCCCACGCGGCAGCCGGAGGGGCUGCGGUUGCUCGGAAAGCCCGCGGGCUGCACAGGUGGCGCUGAGCACGGCUGAAGGCACCCCAGGCAUCGGCCUGCACCCGGGGAGCCGGGGACAGAGAGGCUGGGCAGGCCGGGCUCAGAUAACCCCGUUACAGGGCGUUGUCGUAAAUAACGAAGUCACGUCUGAAACUCA
This is a long non-coding RNA of Suricata suricatta (meerkat), 804 nucleotides long. RefSeq lists it as uncharacterized. NCBI's taxonomy places the organism in Eukaryota, Metazoa, Chordata, Mammalia, Carnivora, Herpestidae. The record is from RefSeq and is a predicted model, not a curated record. The transcript is spliced from 3 exons.